RNAcentral lists this ribosomal RNA (433 nucleotides) under uncultured bacterium. Its description in RNAcentral is "partial 16S ribosomal RNA". It matches the Rfam family "Bacterial small subunit ribosomal RNA", at positions 29 to 507 of the family's 1533-position model. The record is from RNAcentral.
AGCGAACGCUGGCGGCAGGCUUAACACAUGCAAGUCGAGCGGGCACUUCGGUGUCAGCGGCAGACGGGUGAGUAACACGUGGGAACGUACCCUUCGGUUCGGAAUAACGCUGGGAAACUAGCGCUAAUACCGGAUACGCCCUUUUGGGGAAAGGUUUACUGCCGCAGGAUCGGCCCGCGUCUGAUUAGCUAGUUGGUGGGGUAAUGGCCUACCAAGGCGACGAUCAGUAGCUGGUCUGAGAGGAUGAUCAGCCACACUGGGGCUGAGACACGGCCCAGACUCCUACGGGAGGCAGCAGUGGGGAAUAUUGGACAAUGGGCGCAAGCCUGAUCCAGCCAUGCCGCGUGAGUGAUGAAGGCCUUAGGGUUGUAAAGCUCUUUUGUCCGGGACGAUAAUGACGGUACCGGAAGAAUAAGCCCCGGCUAACUUCGUG